UGUAGGAGGCGCUAGAGACUGUGUUUUCAACUUCCUAUAUACUGUUUUGCUCUUCUCUUUGAUAGUGCCUGUGGUGCCUGUGGUGAUACUUGCAAGACAAAACACUUCUGUAAAAAAAAUGAAAAAUAAAGAGUAACGUAAUAUGGUAAUCGUCUAUAUACAUCAAUAUACAUAAGUUUACCACUUCCCUCCAUGUACUCCAGCUUAACUGGUAGCGUUUGUUUUGUGGACAAUCACAAUUGUGUGGUAUCUAUUACUUAAUUGCUAUUAAGAAUCUCAGUUCAACGACUGACACAAAUUACUAUUGGAACCCUCAAGGUUUGCAAACUGAAUUCAUGAUUUCAUUAAGUGUAUUCGCCAAGCUCUUUUCACUGGCAUGGGGCGACAAUGUGCAUCCUGUACAUGUAGUGAUAUGUCUACAAAGAGAUCCCGAAAUGUUAGAAAGUGCAAGUGAGAUACAGAAAGCUUUAAGCAACGAAUGUCGUAAAACGAUGAAGGAAGACAAUGCGUACGGUCAAGCAUUGUCAUUCAAGUACCAUUAUUUGAGUUGUAUCGUAGCAGAAGUGAUAAAAUACCAAAUGCAACAGAAGGCGAUUAAAGCAGAGACAGAAAAGUUAGACAGUAUAGAGGGUCUAAUAAGAAAACUCAUGAAAUGUAAUAGCUCCGGUGUACCAGAAUAUCAAGAAGCAUUUCUGAGGAAGACUAUAAGGACGUAUCCAAACAAAGAGAACAUAAUUUAUCUACACAUCGUGACGACCCUGGAUGCUAGUAAUCCACCGUCAGCCCUGUCAGUAAUGACUCAUGCGAUUAACAGUCAAAGACAUUUAUUUCCCAAGUCAAAGAUCUGUGUUACUUGUGGUGAGGACAAAGCUGCCAGAAAGUGCAGCAAAUGUAAAGCGGUACAAUAUUGCGACAGAGAAUGUCAGAGGCUUCAUUGGUUUGUGCACAAAAAGGCAUGCACUAGAUUAGAUCAAAAUAUCGCACCAAGUGCGAAGAUCAGCAACGCGGAUAAAGAACAAAUAAGUAACGCGGGUAAAGAACAAAUAAGCAACGCAGUUAGUUCCAGGUUACGGAACCUGAGCGUUAAUUGAAAGCAAACGCAAGACUGAAUUUCUAAAGAAAAUGAACUACGGUGUGCUGUAUAUAUGUAUCUAAUUUUGUAACAUGAGAAAUUAGUUAAAAAAUAUGUAUCCACUUUCGUUCAAUAGCUUUCAUUUUUUUAUUUUGUUGAUUCACAGAACUUGACGAUACAGUUUUUUAUCAGAGUGGAGUUUUAUCCAUGGUUAUGGAUAAGUAAAGAGCUCUUGAUGUUCGGCUGGACAAGAAAUUCGAAUUUCUUGCUCCACUAAAGCAAGUUGCAGUUCCUGUAUCAAUUUGUUCAGUCUAUUUAUUUCUGCGACCUGAGGAUUCUGAUUCACCACAGGUUUAUUCUUUAUUUUACGCGCUCUAUCGGCGUAUCUCAGAGUGCUCAAAGUUUCGUCCAGAUUAUAAUCCGCUGGACUGAUGCAUG
RNA transcript from Ceratina calcarata, 1510 nucleotides. It is a transcript of the gene named ankyrin repeat and MYND domain-containing protein 2-like, with no coding region annotated. The transcript has 3 exons. The record is from RefSeq and is a predicted model, not a curated record. NCBI's taxonomy places the organism in Eukaryota, Metazoa, Arthropoda, Insecta, Hymenoptera, Apidae.